UACGGAGGGUGCAAGCGUUAUCCGGAUUCACUGGGUUUAAAGGGUGCGUAGGUGGGCAGGUAAGUCAGUGGUGAAAUCUCCGAGCUUAACUCGGAACUGCCGUUGAUACUAUUUGUCUUGAAUAUUGUGGAGGUAAGCGGAAUAUGUCAUGUAGCGGUGAAAUGCUUAGAUAUGACAUAGAACAUCAAUUGCGAAGGCAGCUCGCUACACGGUUAUUGACACUGAGGCACGAAAGCGUGGGGAUCAAACAGG
RNAcentral lists this ribosomal RNA (252 nucleotides) under uncultured bacterium. RNAcentral's name for it is "partial 16S ribosomal RNA". It matches the Rfam family "Bacterial small subunit ribosomal RNA", at positions 524 to 776 of the family's 1533-position model. The record is from RNAcentral.